GAUGAACGCUGGCGGCGUGCCUAAUACAUGCAAGUCGAGCGAACAGACGAGGAGCUUACUCCUCUGACGUUAGCGGCGGACGGGUGAGUAACACGUGGAUAACCUACCUAUAAGACUGGGAUAACUUCGGGAAACCGGAGCUAAUACCGGAUAACAUGUUGAACCGCAUGGUUCAACAGUGAAAGACGGUCUUGCUGUCACUUAUAGAUGGAUCCGCGUCGCAUUAGCUAGUUGGUAAGGUAACGGCUUACCAAGGCAACGAUGCGUAGCCGACCUGAGAGGGUGAUCGGCCACACUGGAACUGAGACACGGUCUAGACUCCUACGGGAGGCAGCAGUAGGGAAUCUUCCGCAAUGGGCGAAAGCCUGACGGAGCAACGCCGCGUGAGUGAAGAAGGUCUUCGUAUCGUAAAACUCUGUUAUUAGGGAAGAACACUUGUGUAAGUAACUAUGCACGUCUUGACGGUACCUAAUCAGAAAGCCACGGCUAACUACGUG
This 497-nucleotide ribosomal RNA is filed under the name uncultured bacterium. RNAcentral's name for it is "partial 16S ribosomal RNA". It matches the Rfam family "Bacterial small subunit ribosomal RNA", at positions 28 to 507 of the family's 1533-position model. The record is from RNAcentral.